This 251-nucleotide ribosomal RNA is filed under the name uncultured prokaryote. Its description in RNAcentral is "partial 16S rRNA". It matches the Rfam family "Bacterial small subunit ribosomal RNA", at positions 525 to 775 of the family's 1533-position model. The record is from RNAcentral.
ACGGAGGGUGCGAGCGUUAAUCGGAAUCACUGGGCGUAAAGCGCACGUAGGCGGUGUCGUAAGUCGGAUGUGAAAGCCCUCGGCUCAACCGGGGAACUGCAUUCGAUACUGCGACGCUUGAGUGCCGGAGAGGGUGGCGGAAUUCCAGGUGUGGGAGUCGGGGGCGGGGAGCUGUGGAGGAGUACCGAAGGCGUGGGCAUCCACCAGGACGAAAAUUGCUGCUGUGGUGGUAGAGUGAUGGGUACUUGCAG